AGGAAAACCUCCUGCGAAUGAAAACAACAGGGUGCAAUGUUGCAACCUGCAAAACAGUGGUCCGGCAACCCUGGGGUGGGGGCUUACCUUCUCUAAGUACCAUAUACUCACUCCUCUGAGACGGGUACAAUACCAAGUGAUAGGAAAAAAAACCCGGCUUAUCCAAAAUUCAGCCGCGUGAGCACCGCCUGUUGUCGUCGAGAGCUAGUUUGGGGCACCGCAAACAGACCGCGACCGGAGGGCCGAGGCGGGGGUCGCCCACACAGCGCGAAUCCAAGUUGGCCUCCGCGCCCACGCCGGAACUGGCCCCAUCUACUGCCUCCCCGGCGUCCCGGCCCGCCGCGGCGCCCACCGCCGCUCCCGCCGCCGCGCGCCCGGCCAACUUCCCACCCAGCCCUGGCGGUCGCAGCCCAGCCCCGAUCGGAGUCCGGGUCCCGCUGCCGCGUGCGGGCGGGUGGGGGAGGGGCCGUCGCCUCCGCCUCACCCGACGUGCCGCGAGAACAAAGCGACGGCCGCGGCGACGCUAACUUUUUCGGUGUCUGUUCUGCGCCUCCUGAGGCGACUACUUACAGAGGAGAGGUCCGCUGGUCGUGAGAAAGUCCGCGCCAGCCAGCGUCUGAGUCCAGGACGCAGCGCCAGCGAGGCUUCACGCACUUCGCCGGAUCCCGCCCGCCGCUGGCGCCCCUUCCUCCCUCUCUCCCUCCUCCAGGAGGCGCUGGUAGCAAGGAAGCAAGAGGUGACAGCUUGAACCGGGGACUUGUAAAGGACCCACAGCAGAGAGCGGUUUUCACCCUGAGAUUGAGUGUAUAUCAGAUCCCUCUUCAUUCCUCCAUCUGGCCUUCCUCUGCUGACCUUGUAGAAGACCAUGGACUUCUGCUUGGAUAAAAAGACUACUACUAAUAUUUAUCAUUAUUGAACACUAGUUCUGGACCAGGCACAUUCAUCCAUUUUUAUAUACCUUUCUCUGUUCAUUCCAUAUAACAUUUCUCUUUUCUUUAUUUACACUCAUAUUUAGCUUUAUGUAACUUAACACUUGAUUAUAAAUUGCAGAUAUAGUUUAUAAUCAAAGAGGGGCAUGGUAAGGAUAGUUUGACUAAAGGGAAGAUUAGAAAAAUGUAACUAAAGGGAAAUGAUACUGCAUAUGCUGUAUUUAGGAUUUGAUAUCAUGUCCUCAAAAUUUAGUAUUCAGGUAGUUUACAAUAGAAAAACAAUUACCUUGCUCAUCCCCAAUAAUUAAUCAUGUGGUUACAAAAUAUGUUUCUCCAAAAAUGAUGAAGUAAUACAUGAAGUAAUGUAUAACUGCUUUUGAAUUUCAAUUUAAUUGAGUA
This is a non-coding RNA of Manis javanica (Malayan pangolin), 1328 nucleotides long. NCBI's taxonomy places the organism in Eukaryota, Metazoa, Chordata, Mammalia, Pholidota, Manidae. The record is from RefSeq and is a predicted model, not a curated record.